ACGCUGGCGGCGUGCCUAAUACAUGCAAGUCGAGCGGAGUUAAUCGGGAGCUUGCUCCUGAUUGACUUAGCGGCGGACGGGUGAGUAACACGUAGGCAACCUGCCCGUAAGACCGGGAUAACUAGCGGAAACGUUAGCUAAUACCGGAUAAUCAAGUUUCUCGCAUGGGGAGACUUGGGAAAGGCGGAGCAUCUGUCACUUUACGGGGUU
Molecule: ribosomal RNA, 210 nt
Filed under: Paenibacillus macerans
Lineage: Bacteria; Bacillati; Bacillota; Bacilli; Caryophanales; Paenibacillaceae
Description: partial 16S ribosomal RNA
Rfam family: Bacterial small subunit ribosomal RNA
Source: RNAcentral